RNAcentral lists this ribosomal RNA (445 nucleotides) under uncultured bacterium. Its description in RNAcentral is "partial 16S ribosomal RNA". It matches the Rfam family "Bacterial small subunit ribosomal RNA", at positions 354 to 796 of the family's 1533-position model. The record is from RNAcentral.
GUGAGGAAUAUUGGUCAAUGGACGAGAGUCUGAACCAGCCAAGUCGCGUGAAGGAAGACGGUUCUAUGAAUUGUAAACUUCUUUUGUGCAGGAAUAAAGUGGGUUACGUGUAACCUUUUGUAUGUACUGUACGAAUAAGGAUCGGCUAACUCCGUGCCAGCAGCCGCGGUAAUACGGAGGAUCCGAGAGUUAUCCGGAUUUAUUGGGUUUAAAGGGUGCGUAGGUGGAUUGAUAAGUCAGCGGUGAAAGUUUGCAGCUUAACUGUAAAAUUGCCGUUGAAGCUGUCGGUCUUGAGUGCAAAUGAGGUAGGCGGAAUGUGUUGUGUAGCGGUGAAAUGCUUAGAUAUAACACAGAACUCCGAUUGCGAAGGCAGCUUACUGGGAUGCAACUGACACUGAUGCACGAAAGCGUGGGUAUCAAACAGGAUUAGAAACCCCGGUAGUCC